UACGGAGGGUGCAAGCGUUAUCCGGAUUCACUGGGUUUAAAGGGUGCGUAGGAGGGCAGGUAAGUCAGUGGUGAAAUCUUCGAGCCUAACUCGGAAACUGCCGUUGAUACUAUCUGUCUUGAAUACCGUGGAGAUGAGCGGAAUAUGUCAUGUAGCGGUGAAAUGCUUAGAUAUGACAUAGAACACCAAUUGCGAAGGCAGCUCACUACACGAAUAUUGACACUGAGGCACGAAAGCGUGGGGAUCAAACAGG
This 253-nucleotide ribosomal RNA is filed under the name uncultured bacterium. RNAcentral's name for it is "partial 16S ribosomal RNA". It matches the Rfam family "Bacterial small subunit ribosomal RNA", at positions 524 to 776 of the family's 1533-position model. The record is from RNAcentral.